AACGAACGCUGGCGGCAUGCCUAACACAUGCAAGUCGAACGAGACCUUCGGGUCUAGUGGCGCACGGGUGCGUAACGCGUGGGAACCUGCCCUUAGGUUCGGAAUAACUCCCCGAAAGGGGUGCUAAUACCGGAUAAUUUCUUCGGCCUAAAGGUUUAUCGCCUUUGGAUGGGCCCGAGUUGGAUUAGCUAGUUGGUAGGGUAAAAGCCUACCAAGGCGACGAUCCAUAGCUGGUCUGAGAGGAUGAUCAGCCACACUGGGACUGAGACACGGCCCAGACUCCUACGGGAGGCAGGAGUGGGGGAUAUUGGACAAUGGGCGGAAGCCUGAUCCAGCAAUGCCGGGUGAGUGAUGAAGGCCGUAGGGUUGUAAAGCUCUUUUACCCGGGAUGAUAAUGACAGUACCGGGAGAAUAAGCUCCGGCUAACUCCGUG
This 433-nucleotide ribosomal RNA is filed under the name uncultured bacterium. Its description in RNAcentral is "partial 16S ribosomal RNA". It matches the Rfam family "Bacterial small subunit ribosomal RNA", at positions 29 to 507 of the family's 1533-position model. The record is from RNAcentral.